GGAGAAUUAGCUCAGCUGGGAGAGCGCCUGCUUUGCACGCAGGAGGUCAGCGGUUCGAACCCGUCAUUCUCCACCA
RNAcentral lists this transfer RNA (76 nucleotides) under Staphylococcus aureus. RNAcentral's name for it is "tRNA-Ala". It matches the Rfam family "tRNA". From Rfam's summary of the family: Transfer RNA (tRNA) molecules are approximately 80 nucleotides in length. Their secondary structure includes four short double-helical elements and three loops (D, anti-codon, and T loops). Lineage: Bacteria; Bacillati; Bacillota; Bacilli; Caryophanales; Staphylococcaceae. The record is from RNAcentral.